UACGGGGGGGGCAAGCGUUGUUCGGAAUUACUGGGCGUAAAGGGCUCGUAGGCGGCCAACUAAGUCGGAUGUGAAAUCCCCAAGCUUAACUUGGGAACUGCAUCCGAUACUGGAUGGCUUGAAUCCGGGAGAGGGAUGCAGAAUUCCAGGUGUAGCGGUGAAAUGCGUAGAUAUCUGGAGGAAUACCGGUGGCGAAGGCGGCAUCCUGGACCGGCAUUGACGCUGAGGAGCGAAAGCUAGGGGAGCAAACAGG
RNAcentral lists this ribosomal RNA (253 nucleotides) under uncultured bacterium. Its description in RNAcentral is "partial 16S ribosomal RNA". It matches the Rfam family "Bacterial small subunit ribosomal RNA", at positions 524 to 776 of the family's 1533-position model. The record is from RNAcentral.